Molecule: long non-coding RNA, 1987 nt
Organism: Gallus gallus (chicken)
Lineage: Eukaryota; Metazoa; Chordata; Aves; Galliformes; Phasianidae
Source: Ensembl
UCUAAAGCAAAUUCACCUGGUGACAAAACGAACAGGCCCGGUGAGGUCAGCUCAUGAAUAUUGCUUCAUUUUCCUGAGAGGAUCUGGCAGCGCCGGGUACCCCCGGGUGCAGUGCCCGUCUUCCCGUGCACGCGUUCCGCCAGCCGGGCAGCGGACAGAGCGGCGGUGAGUAAUGCGGCUGCUGGAAGCUCGAGCCUUUCUUUUUUUCUUUUCUUUGAAAAAGAAAAAAAAAAUAGAGAAAGGGAGGGGGGCGUUACUCAAGGUUCAGCUCCAGCAAAACCUCCGGGUAGAAGUGGGGAGCUAAGGAAAGCCACCCCCGCCCCUAGAAUCGGGACAAAAGGCGGGCGGGGUCCGGAGCCCCACGGGGUAGAGGGCAGAGGGAUGCCCUGCGCCGCAUCCCCACGCUGCGGGUGGAGCCUUUUGUUGCCGUCUUUGGUCGGGCAUUUUUCUUGUUCCCGACGGGAAAACCUAUGGAGAUGCAGCGUCGCGUCGCCACGUGGAUUUGCCUCGGGAGGGUACACUGUAUGGAGGGGCUUUUCUUUGGGACACGGGAUUCGGGCUUGGGCUUAAACGGGCCCUUCAUUGUGCUAUUAACAAAGAAAAAAAGAAAAAGAAAAACAAAAACAACAGAAAAGCCCCAAGCCACGGCCAGGCAAACUGUAGGCAGUAGCCAGUCCUGAAGCUGGGGGCAUGAAGAUGGUAAGGAAGAGUCAGAGCACUCAGGGAAUAUGGGGUCUAAGCCAAGUCCUGUCCUGAGUUCUUUCAGCUUCUGUAGGGGUUUCUGGGUUUGAAGAGUGACGUUUGGUACCUGUACAGCUCUGAACAGCGGCAGUUAAAAUGAUUAAUAGAGAAACAAAGCAAACCUUUCGUACAGCAUUGUGCAUUUGUGACUGUUGAUAGGUUUACAAUCCCAUUCUACCUCUUUACUAUUGGGAAGAAUCUGCCUGGGAAGAAUCUGCCAAAUUAGGGAGGUUUUUUAAGCAUAUUGGUUAAAAUGAGGGAUAUAAUGACAGCGCACUUGGCAGAAAUCUCUGAGCCCUUGCCCUGGAGAGUAGAGUUGGUGCCUGGUGUGUUCCAGAGAGCAAAGCAAUUGUCAGGGUGCAGCAUAAAGUCUACCCUUACUUUGCCUGGUUUGAUUUCUUUAUUCCUUACCCUGCAGUGGUCUAGGUGGGAUCAUUAGGCUGUGUUAGGAAUGCUGUCACUUCUACUUUGGCCCAUGUUUUCCCUUUAAGGGCAGUUGAACAAAGGCUAUGUAAAAACAGUUGAUGUAUCAUAGCUAAUAUUUUCAGAGUGCAUUAAGGAAUGUCUUUGCAGCCUAUUUUGAUCAUCUGUUGUGAUCAUAAAAACUCUGCUUCAGUCACUGUGUGGCAAAAUUGCCAUCCUUGCACACUCAUGUGAAUACUGUGUAAUGACUGCUGUUGGGCUGGGGUGUAUUCCUCACUCCCUCUGUUUUGAAAAUCUGCUGGAGUGAUUAUGGCUCGCCCCUGUUUUGGUAGAAACAGUAUCAACUCAAAUGAGCUUAAAAGUUGAUUCAGGGACCCUUUUCCUCCAGGAGUCUUGGUUGGUGUGCUCUGGCAGCCUGGCUUUGUCCUGGCAGAGCUCCUGCCCAGGCCAAAGAGCAGUGAGCUGCAACUAUCACCUCCAGCCAUUUGUGCAGCAGCCUGGCCCACUGACAGGUGGCUGCAGGAGGCUUCAGGCAGAGGGGUGCAGCAGCAACCUGGGCUGGUACCACGAUGACCAGUGAAGAUGAACGUGAGGGAAGGGGUUUGUGUGGAUUGAAAUACAGUUGUGGUAUGGCAGCACAUAUAGGGACGGGUUUGGCAUCAGAGGGGGAAAACGGUGAUAGGUGAAAGAAGAGUGGGAACAGCUCUCAGCCUCAACCCUUUGAAGCCCGUCGGACCCACGUUGUGGCCUUCAGCCUCGGUCCCCGCUAUGCCCGCGGGGCCGGCUGGCAGCACGGGGGGCGAGGCGGGCUGGAUGCUGGGCA